UUUCGCAAUGCCCGAAAGGGUGACGAAGCGACGCCGCGUGAGUGAGGAAGGCCUUCGGGUUGUAAAGCUCUGUCAGGAGUUAAGAAAUAUAAGUGUGUUAAUACCACAUUUAUUUGACGAAGGCUCCAAAGGAAGCCACGGCUAACUCUGUGUCAGCAGCCGCGGUAAUACAGAGGUGGCAAGCGUUGUUCGGAAUUAUUGGGCGUAAAGAGCACGUAGGUGGGUUUGUAAGUCAGAUGUGAAAGCCUUCUGUUCAACGGAAGAAUUGCAUCUGAAACUGCGAGUCUUGAGUGUAGGAGGGGAGAAUGGAACUUCUGGUGGAGCGGUGAAAUGCGUAGAUAUCAGAAGGAACGCCGGCGGCGAAAGCGAUUCUCUGGCCUAUUACUGACACUCGGUGUGCGAAAGCUAGGGGAGCAAACGGGAUUAGAUACCCCGGUAGUCCUAGCUGUAAACGAUGGGCACUAAGUAGAGGGGUUUUA
Molecule: ribosomal RNA, 479 nt
Filed under: uncultured anaerobic ammonium-oxidizing bacterium
Lineage: Bacteria
Description: bacterial SSU rRNA
Rfam family: Bacterial small subunit ribosomal RNA
Source: RNAcentral